Molecule: small nucleolar RNA, 48 nt
Filed under: Pyrobaculum calidifontis JCM 11548
Lineage: Archaea; Thermoproteati; Thermoproteota; Thermoprotei; Thermoproteales; Thermoproteaceae
Description: PCAsR04
Source: RNAcentral
GUGAUGAGGGGAUUCUAGGUGACAUGUGAUGUAGCCCUCGAAUUCUGA